This 490-nucleotide ribosomal RNA is filed under the name uncultured bacterium. RNAcentral's name for it is "partial 16S ribosomal RNA". It matches the Rfam family "Bacterial small subunit ribosomal RNA", at positions 30 to 507 of the family's 1533-position model. The record is from RNAcentral.
AUUGAACGCUGGCGGCAGGCCUAACACAUGCAAGUCGAACGGUAACAGGAGGAGGCUUGCUUCUUUGCUGUCGAGUGGCGGGCGUGAGUGACAUGUCUGGGACACUGCCUGAUGGCGGGGGAUAACUACUGGAAACGGUAGCAAAUACCGCAUAACGUCUGAAGACCAAAGAGCGGGACCUUCGGGCCUCUUGCCAUCGGAUGAGAGCAGAUGGGAUUAGCUAGUAGGUGGGGUAACGGCUCACCUAGGCGACGAUCCCCAGCUGGUCUUAGAGGAUGACCAGCCACACUGGAACUGAGACACGGUCCAGACUCCUACGGGAGGCAGCAGUGGGGAAUAUUGCACAAUGGGCGCAAGCCUGAUGCAGCCAUGCCGCGUGUAUGAAGAAGGCCUUCGGGUUGUAAAGUACUUUCAGCGGGGAGGAAGGGAGUAAAGUUAAUACCUUUGCUCAUUGACGUUACCCGCAGAAGAAGCACCGGCUAACUCCGUG